GUGGGGAAUUUUGGACAAUGGGGGCAACCCUGAUCCAGCAAUGCCGCGUGCAGGAAGAAGGCCUUCGGGUUGUAAACUGCUUUUGUACGGAACGAAACGGUCCUGGUUAAUACCUGGGGCUAAUGACGGUACCGUAAGAAUAAGCACCGGCUAACUACGUGCCAGCAGCCGCGGUAAUACGUAGGGUGCAAGCGUUAAUCGGAAUUACUGGGCGUAAAGCGUGCGCAGGCGGUUUUGUAAGACAGGCGUGAAAUCCCCGGGCUCAACCUGGGAAUGGCGCUUGUGACUGCAAGGCUGGAGUGCGGCAGAGGGGGAUGGAAUGCCGCGUGUAGCAGUGAAAUGCUUAGAUAUGCGGAGGAACACCGAUGGCGAAGGCAAUCCCCUGGGCCUGCACUGACGCUCAUGCACGAAAGCGUGGGGAGCAAACAGGAUUAGAUACCCUUGUAGUCC
RNAcentral lists this ribosomal RNA (450 nucleotides) under uncultured bacterium. RNAcentral describes it as "partial 16S ribosomal RNA". It matches the Rfam family "Bacterial small subunit ribosomal RNA", at positions 354 to 796 of the family's 1533-position model. The record is from RNAcentral.